RNAcentral lists this ribosomal RNA (250 nucleotides) under uncultured Dermacoccus sp. Its description in RNAcentral is "partial 16S ribosomal RNA". It matches the Rfam family "Bacterial small subunit ribosomal RNA", at positions 524 to 773 of the family's 1533-position model. The record is from RNAcentral. Lineage: Bacteria; Bacillati; Actinomycetota; Actinomycetes; Micrococcales; Dermacoccaceae.
UACGUAGGGUGCGAGCGUUGUCCGGAAUUAUUGGGCGUAAAGAGCUUGUAGGCGGUCUGUCGCGUCUGCUGUGAAAGACCGGGGCUUAACUCCGGUUCUGCAGUGGGUACGGGCAGACUAGAGUGUGGUAGGGGAGACUGGAAUUCCUGGUGUAGCGGUGAAAUGCGCAGAUAUCAGGAGGAACACCGAUGGCGAAGGCAGGUCUCUGGGCCAUUACUGACGCUGAGAAGCGAAAGCAUGGGGAGCGAAC